Long non-coding RNA from Helianthus annuus (common sunflower), 421 nucleotides. RefSeq lists it as uncharacterized. The record is from RefSeq and is a predicted model, not a curated record. The transcript is spliced from 4 exons. Lineage: Eukaryota; Viridiplantae; Streptophyta; Magnoliopsida; Asterales; Asteraceae.
CUUCCGGUAAGACGAUUAGGGUUCCGGCGUGCUGGACUGCCAUCUCUGUCAAAAAGGGUUCCUCAAAGAUAGUGGUUGUGGGUGGAAGACGAUGACACAAGCCUUGAAUCAAAUCCAUGUUUACUCGACCUCCAUAUUUUGAGGGUAAAAGUGAAGAUGACUUCUUUGACAGGACUUAAAGCAAGUUGAAGUUUGCACCAGAUAAGAUGGUUGGCUGGAAAUCCUUCCCACAAACUGGAUAUAAUGGCUCAGUGUGGCUAACAGUAAGUCCUGCUGACCCUUCAGGCUCCACAUAAUCUUGAUGUCUUAUAAGUGAGUCGUUACCGUAUUAUGAAUGUAUCUGGGUGACUCUGGCAUGCUCUCUUUGGAUUUUGUGUUGCACAUGAGAUCUGUGUGCUUCUGGGUUUUAACAGAGAUUUAA